GUCCAGACUCCUACGGGAGGCAGCAGUGGGGAAUAUUGCACAAUGGGGGAAACCCUGAUGCAGCGACGCCGCGUGAGCGAUGAAGUAUUUCGGUAUGUAAAGCUCUAUCAGCAGGGAAGAAGAUGACGGUACCUGACUAAGAAGCCCCGGCUAACUACGUGCCAGCAGCCGCGGUAAUACGUAGGGGGCAAGCGUUAUCCGGAUUUACUGGGUGUAAAGGGAGCGUAGACGGCGAUGCAAGCCAGAUGUGAAAGCCCGGCGCUCAACGUGGGAACUGCCUUUGAAACUGGCAAACUGGAGUGUGUGAGAGGAUAGUGGAAUUCCAGGUGUAGGAGUGAAAUCCGUAGAUAUCUGGAGGAACAUCAGUGGCGAAGGCGACUAUCUGGCACAUAACUGACGCUGAGGAGCGAAAGCGUGGGUAGCAAACAGGAUUAGAUACCCCAGUACG
RNAcentral lists this ribosomal RNA (448 nucleotides) under uncultured bacterium. Its description in RNAcentral is "bacterial SSU rRNA". It matches the Rfam family "Bacterial small subunit ribosomal RNA", at positions 329 to 793 of the family's 1533-position model. The record is from RNAcentral.